This 276-nucleotide ribosomal RNA is filed under the name uncultured Synergistaceae bacterium. RNAcentral describes it as "partial 16S ribosomal RNA". It matches the Rfam family "Bacterial small subunit ribosomal RNA", at positions 1107 to 1382 of the family's 1533-position model. The record is from RNAcentral. Lineage: Bacteria; Thermotogati; Synergistota; Synergistia; Synergistales; Synergistaceae.
GCAUUCAGUUGCCAUCGGGUAAUGCCGGGCACUCUGAAGGACUGCCAUCGACAAGAUGGAGGAAGGUGGGGAUGACGUCAAGUCAUCAUGGCCCUUAUGUCCAGGGCGACACACGUGCUACAAUGGCCGGCACAACGGGAAGCGAGUUCGCGAGGACGAGCGGAUCCCUUAAAGCCGGUCGCAGUUCGGAUUGAAGUCUGCAACUCGACUUCAUGAAGCUGGAAUCGCUAGUAAUCGUGGAUCAGCCAAGCCGCGGUGAAUACGUUCCCGGGCCUU